UUGAGCGCUGGCGGCAUGCCUUACACAUGCAAGUCGAACGGUAGAGGGGCAACCCUUGAGAGUGGCGAACGGGUGAGUAAUGCAUCGGAACGUGCCCAGUCGUGGGGGAUAACGCAGCGAAAGCUGUGCUAAUACCGCAUGUGAUCUGUGGAUGAAAGCAGGGGACCGCAAGGCCUUGUGCGAUUGGAGCGGCCGAUGUCAGAUUAGCUAGUUGGUAGGGUAAAAGCCUACCAAGGCGACGAUCUGUAGCUG
This 252-nucleotide ribosomal RNA is filed under the name uncultured bacterium. RNAcentral's name for it is "partial 16S ribosomal RNA". It matches the Rfam family "Bacterial small subunit ribosomal RNA", at positions 30 to 289 of the family's 1533-position model. The record is from RNAcentral.